Long non-coding RNA from Sander lucioperca (pikeperch), 157 nucleotides. RefSeq lists it as uncharacterized. The transcript is spliced from 3 exons. The record is from RefSeq and is a predicted model, not a curated record. NCBI's taxonomy places the organism in Eukaryota, Metazoa, Chordata, Actinopteri, Perciformes, Percidae.
UGAGUUUGGUUUCUUACCUCUUCUCUGCAGCUCUCUGCUUUGUUGUGUCUGCUGGCCGUGUAACUCCCGGAUCGGAGAUCUGAUACGCUCUCGCUCACUGUGACUCUCCCGCUCGGUCAACUUCUCUUUCCUCACCCACCCCUCCUCUCCCUCUCCU